Molecule: long non-coding RNA, 711 nt
Organism: Gossypium raimondii (Peruvian cotton)
Lineage: Eukaryota; Viridiplantae; Streptophyta; Magnoliopsida; Malvales; Malvaceae
Exons: 2
Source: RefSeq, a predicted model, not a curated record
CCCUAGCCUUCCUCAGCAGCUUUCUAUUUCAGCCGCCAUAGCAGUAGCCCAGGCGCGCCUCUUCCCCGCGCGUGCGCCUCCACGCCACGCACCUCUGUACACCGUACCUGCCAACAAAAACAAACAAGCGCAACAGACCAUUGGAAACAGUUAAAGGACGAACCUGGUGGUCGAACCUCAGUUCCCUCCGUCGCAAUCGGAGGCACGAAAAGGCGAAGGGGGCUUUCGAACGGCCUGUUAGUUGAGCGGCGCGCAGAGGGAGUCUUUAGUUUUUUGUAGGGUUUGUUUCUUUUUAAAUUAAAAUUGCUGCUGAUUUAGGGUUUAGUUAGUUUUUACAUAACAAAAAAAACGGCGCCGUUUUGGGCCUGCUUAAGUGGCCUUAAAACGACGCUGUUUAGAGGCUUGCGACCCGCGCGUCGACCCGACCCAGGGGGAGGAUCCGCGUGUUUUGAUUCGACGGGCUAUCUACGCGCGCGGUCCCUCCGCGUUUGCGAUGGUUUCCAAUUUGGUCCUUUUUUCUUUCUUUUCUUUUUCUUUUAAAUUAGCCGCGUAAUUUUAUUUUCGUUUCAUUUUGGUCCCGUGUUAAACGCAACGUUUCGGAAGCCUGGAUUAAUUUCUUUAUUGGUCCCUCAACAUUUUUUGCGCAUCUGUUUUAGUCAUUUUAUUUGAAUUUUAUUAAUCUUUCAUUUUUAAUUUAUGCUUAAAAUUUUA